RNAcentral lists this unclassified non-coding RNA (217 nucleotides) under uncultured fungus. Its description in RNAcentral is "sequence contains ITS1, 5.8S rRNA gene". The stretch from base 169 to 217 matches the Rfam family "5.8S ribosomal RNA", at positions 1 to 49 of the family's 154-position model. The record is from RNAcentral. Lineage: Eukaryota; Fungi.
UUUCCGUAGGUGAACCUGCGGAAGUAUCAUUAAUGAAACGCAAGAGUGCUCUUUUUAGAGGCUCGACCCAUUUCAUCUCACACUGUGCACAUACUACUUUUUACACCAUUUUAAACACUAUAAGUCAUAAGAAUGUCAAUAGUCUCUUUAAUGAGCAUAAACAAUUAAAACUUUCGGCAACGGAUCUCUUGGCUCCCGCAUCGAUGAAGAACGCAGC